RNAcentral lists this ribosomal RNA (466 nucleotides) under uncultured bacterium. Its description in RNAcentral is "partial 16S ribosomal RNA". It matches the Rfam family "Bacterial small subunit ribosomal RNA", at positions 28 to 507 of the family's 1533-position model. The record is from RNAcentral.
GAUGAACGCUGGCGGCGUGCUUAACACAUGCAAGUCGAACGGAAAGGCCCAAGCUUGCUUGGGUACUCGAGUGGCGAACGGGUGAGUAACACGUGGGUGAUCUGCCCUGCACUUCGGGAUAAGCCUGGGAAACUGGGUCCAAUACCGGAUAGGACCACAUUUUGGAUGGUGUGGUGGAAAGUUUUUCGGUGUGGGAUGAGCUCGCGGCCUAUCAGCUUGUUGGUGGGGUAAUGGCCUACCAAGGCGUCGACGGGUAGCCGGCCUGAGAGGGUGUACGGCCACAUUGGGACUGAGAUACGGCCCAGACUCCUACGGGAGGCAGCAGUGGGGAAUAUUGCACAAGGGGCGCAAGCCUGAUGCAGCGACGCCGCGUGGGGGAUGACGGCCUUCGGGUUGUAAACUCCUUUCGCUAGGGACGAAGCGUUAUGUGACGGUACCUGGAGAAGAAGCACCGGCUAACUACGUG